AUGGGUGUUUCCCUUUUCGCCAGCUAUUCCAGAGUGUGUAGGCCGGAAUCAGGCAAUGGCAUGACACGUGAGGGAGCACUACCUUUGGUUGUUUGUUUUUUCCUCUCUGUUGCUUUGAAUACUAAGUUCUCUUUAUGGUUUCCAAAUGCCGUAAGUUUCGAGUCCUUGCCUAGCUGAAGAAGGAGAAAGAAACAAAGGAAAAUAUUAAUGGGCGAAUUUUUGCUUAGUCAUUGCACAUUUUCUGUUGUUGCGUCUAUUGUUUCGGGGGAUGGGAACAUCUGGA
Molecule: unclassified non-coding RNA, 283 nt
Filed under: Hevea brasiliensis (rubber tree)
Lineage: Eukaryota; Viridiplantae; Streptophyta; Magnoliopsida; Malpighiales; Euphorbiaceae
Source: RNAcentral